AGUGAACGCUGGCGGUAGGCCUAACACAUGCAAGUCGAACGGCAGCACAGUAAGAGCUUGCUCUUACGGGUGGCGAGUGGCGGACGGGUGAGGAAUACAUCGGAAUCUACUUUUUCGGGGGGGAUAACGUAGGGAAACUUACGCUAAUACCGCAUACGACCUACGGGUGAAAGCAGGGGAUCUUCGGACCUUGCGCGAUUGAAUGAGCCGAUGUCGGAUUAGCUAGUUGGCGGGGUAAGGGCCCACCAAGGCGACGAUCCGUAGCUGGUCUGAGAGGAUGAUCAGCCACACUGGAACUGAGACACGGUCCAGACUCCUACGGGAGGCAGCAGUGGGGAAUAUUGGACAAUGGGCGCAAGCCUGAUCCAGCCAUACCGCGUGGGUGAAGAAGGCCUUCGGGUUGUAAAGCCCUUUUGUUGGGAAAGAAAAGCAGCAGGUUAAUACCCCGCUGUUCUGACGGUACCCAAAGAAUAAGCACCGGCUAACUUCGUG
RNAcentral lists this ribosomal RNA (492 nucleotides) under uncultured bacterium. RNAcentral describes it as "partial 16S ribosomal RNA". It matches the Rfam family "Bacterial small subunit ribosomal RNA", at positions 29 to 507 of the family's 1533-position model. The record is from RNAcentral.